CCUACGGGAGGCAGCAGUGAGGAAUAUUGGUCAAUGGACGAGAGUCUGAACCAGCCAAGUAGCGUGAAGGAUGACUGCCCUAUGGGUUGUAAACUUCUUUUAUAUGGGAAUAAAACGUUCCACGUGUGGGAUUUUGUAUGUACCAUAUGAAUAAGGAUCGGCUAACUCCGUGCCAGCAGCCGCGGUAAUACGGAGGAUCCGAGCGUUAUCCGGAUUUAUUGGGUUUAAAGGGAGCGUAGGUGGAUUGUUAAGUCAGUUGUGAAAGUUUGCGGCUCAACCGGAAAAUUGCAGUUGAAACUGGCAGUCUUGAGUACAGUAGAGGUGGGCGGAAUUCGUGGUGUAGCGGUGAAAUGCUUAGAUAUCACGAAGAACUCCGAUUGCGAAGGCAGUUCACUGGACUGCAACUGACACUGAGGCGCGAAAGUGUGGGUAUCAAACAGGAUUAGAUACCCGUGUAGUC
This 460-nucleotide ribosomal RNA is filed under the name uncultured bacterium. RNAcentral describes it as "partial 16S ribosomal RNA". It matches the Rfam family "Bacterial small subunit ribosomal RNA", at positions 338 to 795 of the family's 1533-position model. The record is from RNAcentral.